This 840-nucleotide ribosomal RNA is filed under the name uncultured bacterium. RNAcentral's name for it is "bacterial SSU rRNA". It matches the Rfam family "Bacterial small subunit ribosomal RNA", at positions 66 to 903 of the family's 1533-position model. The record is from RNAcentral.
GGCAGCACGAUGUAGCAAUACAUUGGUGGCGACCGGCGCACGUGUGAGUAACGCGUAUGCAACCUACCUAUCAGAGGGGAAUAACCCGGCGAAAGUCGGACUAAUACCGCAUAAAACAGGGGUUCCACAUGGAAAUAUUUGUUAAAGAAUUAUCGCUGAUAGAUGGGCAUGCGUUCCAUUAGAUAGUUGGUGAGGUAACGGCUCACCAAGUCCACGAUGGAUAGGGGUUCUGAGAGGAAGGUCCCCCACACUGGUACUGAGACACGGACCAGACUCCUACGGGAGGCAGCAGUGAGGAAUAUUGGUCAAUGGGCGAGAGCCUGAACCAGCCAAGUCGCGUGAAGGAUGAAGGAUCUAUGGUUUGUAAACUUCUUUUAUAUGGGAAUAAAGUGAGGAACGUGUUCCUUUUUGUAUGUACCAUAUGAAUAAGCAUCGGCUAACUCCGUGCCAGCAGCCGCGGUAAUACGGAGGAUGCGAGCGUUAUCCGGAUUUAUUGGGUUUAAAGGGUGCGUAGGUGGUUAAUUAAGUCAGCGGUGAAAGUUUGUGGCUCAACCAUAAAAUUGCCGUUGAAACUGGUUGACUUGAGUAUAUUUGAGGUAGGCGGAAUGCGUGGUGUAGCGGUGAAAUGCAUAGAUAUCACGCAGAACUCCGAUUGCGAAGGCAGCUUACUAAACUAUAACUGACACUGAAGCACGAAAGCGUGGGGAUCAAACAGGAUUAGAUACCCUGGUAGUCCACGCAGUAAACGAUGAUUACUAGCUGUUUGCGAUACACAGUAAGCGGCACAGCGAAAGCGUUAAGUAAUCCACCUGGGGAGUACGCCGGCAACGGUGAAACUCA